GGCCUAGUGGCCUAAUGGAUUAAGGCAUCAGCCUUCGGAGCUGAGGAUUGUUGGUUUCAGUCCCAUCUGGGUCA
RNAcentral lists this transfer RNA (74 nucleotides) under Astyanax mexicanus (Mexican tetra). It matches the Rfam family "tRNA". Rfam says of the family: Transfer RNA (tRNA) molecules are approximately 80 nucleotides in length. Their secondary structure includes four short double-helical elements and three loops (D, anti-codon, and T loops). Lineage: Eukaryota; Metazoa; Chordata; Actinopteri; Characiformes; Acestrorhamphidae. The record is from Rfam by way of RNAcentral.